RNAcentral lists this long non-coding RNA (327 nucleotides) under Spirodela polyrhiza (greater duckweed). RNAcentral's name for it is "long non-coding RNA (SPOL_LNC002315)". Lineage: Eukaryota; Viridiplantae; Streptophyta; Magnoliopsida; Alismatales; Araceae. The record is from RNAcentral.
UCUUUCCCGAAUCACAGAACAUCCAACCAAAAGGGAACGCCGGUCGCCAUCGACGAAUUAAGGAAGAUCGACGGACCCUCCAACCAUGGCAGGGUAUCUUGAUCGAGAAGGACGACGACGAUCGGAAGCAGAGAUCACGGAUCUGCCAGAAACCGGAACCAAUUGCAGCACGGAAAAAAUGGCAGAGUCCUCACCACCGGGACGGCGAGAGAGUGGUACAGGAGGCCCCCUCGCCGUGCUGUUCGCCUCUGAUCUUCGUAAGGCGGGAAGAGAAUGGCGGAGCCCACUGUCGCUCUCCGACGAGACGGGCGGUGGUGGCUAGAGAUG